Molecule: long non-coding RNA, 215 nt
Filed under: Pan troglodytes (chimpanzee)
Lineage: Eukaryota; Metazoa; Chordata; Mammalia; Primates; Hominidae
Description: long non-coding RNA NONPTRT009239
Source: RNAcentral
UGGGAGCCAGGAGCCAGCAGGAAGAAGGGUGAGCAGAGGUGCCAGAUGAUGAGGAAAGAGGGUCUUCCCCAUGGAGGGAAGGCUCUGAGUGGCCCAGAAGGACCACUCCCAUCGUGUGUAUGGAGUUUAGGGUGGGGACUUGGAGCUGCUGCAGGAGUCCAGACAAAUGUGAAAAAGACCCAGGCAACAGCAAUGGUGAGAGCGGUGCAGGCCGG